GUGAGGAAUAUUGGUCAAUGGGCGGGAGCCUGAACCAGCCAAGUCGCGUGAGGGAUGACGGCCCUAUGGGUUGUAAACCUCUUUUGCCGGGGAGCAAAGUGCCGCACGUGUGCGGUUUGGAGAGUACCCGGAGAAAAAGCAUCGGCUAACUCCGUGCCAGCAGCCGCGGUAAUACGGAGGAUGCGAGCGUUAUCCGGAUUUAUUGGGUUUAAAGGGUGCGUAGGCGGACGCUUAAGUCAGCGGUAAAAUUGCGGGGCUCAACCUCGUCGAGCCGUUGAAACUGGGUGCCUUGAGUGGGCGAGAAGUACGCGGAAUGCGUGGUGUAGCGGUGAAAUGCAUAGAUAUCACGCAGAACUCCGAUUGCGAAGGCAGCGUACCGGCGCCCUACUGACGCUGAAGCACGAAGGCGUGGGUAUCGAACAGGAUUAGAAACCCUAGUAGUCC
This 444-nucleotide ribosomal RNA is filed under the name uncultured Bacteroidales bacterium. RNAcentral's name for it is "bacterial SSU rRNA". It matches the Rfam family "Bacterial small subunit ribosomal RNA", at positions 354 to 796 of the family's 1533-position model. Lineage: Bacteria; Pseudomonadati; Bacteroidota; Bacteroidia; Bacteroidales. The record is from RNAcentral.